Chelonoidis abingdonii (Abingdon island giant tortoise) is the source of this 494-nucleotide non-coding RNA. NCBI's taxonomy places the organism in Eukaryota, Metazoa, Chordata, Testudines, Testudinidae. The record is from RefSeq and is a predicted model, not a curated record.
GGCAAACCGCCAAAGGCAGCCUGCUUGGGGCGGCAAAAACCCUAGAGCUGCCCCUGCUGCCAGCCAUAUUUGGGUGGGGUGUAGCUUCUUCUAAAAAUCCAACAAUGCAUGCCCCACUUUUGAGUUGUGUCCUCCUUUAAGGGCCCAAUGGAUUCUGCUAAGGCCAGAAGUAGGAUCAAACUUCAAGGAGAAGGGGUUGUUCUAGGCUUUGUGCCCCACCCCCACAAAACCCAGUAGCAAAUACUAACGAAUUAUUGUUAUUGUAAAGGUAGAGCCUGUUAUCUUGUAUAGGAAGGUGUCCCCAUUUGCUUCAAUUUCCCUUGAGGAAAUACAGCAGUUUACCUCUCUCUCUAUUGCAGAAGCUUUUGUUCAGAUGAGAAACAAAACAUCAAAUCAGGCUUCCCCUCCCCCCCCCCCCCCGACACAUAGUGUACUGAUUUACUCCCUCGUGGUUUGGGGUUUCACGGAGGGUAUUUUUUGUUGUUUUUAAUUUA